ACUAUCGUUAACUGAAUACAUAGGUUAACGAGGCGAACCGGGGGAACUGAAACAUCUAAGUACCCCGAGGAAAAGAAAUCAACCGAGAUUCCCCCAGUAGCGGCGAGCGAACGGGGAGCAGCCCAGAGUCUGAAUCAGCUUGUGUGUUAGUGGAACGGUCUGGAAAGUCCGACGGUACAGGGUGAUAGUCCCGUACACCAAAAUGCACAGGUUGUGAACUCGAAGAGUAGGGCGGGACACGUGGUAUCCUGUCUGAAUAUGGGGGGACCAUCCUCCAAGGCUAAAUACUCCUGACUGACCGAUAGUGAACCAGUACCGUGAGGGAAAGGCGAAAAGAACCCCGGCGAGGGGAGUGAAAAAGAACCUGAAACCGUGUACGUACAAGCAGUGGGAGCACCUUUAGGUGUGACUGCGUACCUUUUGUAUAAUGGGUCAGCGACUUAUAUUCUGUAGCAAGGUUAACCGUAUAGGGGAGCCGCAGGGAAACCGAGUCUUAACUGGGCGUUAAGUUGCAGGGUAUAGACCCGAAACCCGGUGAUCUAGCCAUGGGCAGGUUGAAGGUUGGGUAACACUAACUGGAGGACCGAACCGACUAAUGUUGAAAAAUUAGCGGAUGACUUGUGGCUGGGGGUGAAAGGCCAAUCAAACCGGGAGAUAGCUGGUUCUCCCCGAAAGCUAUUUAGGUAGCGCCUCGUGAAUUCAUCUUCGGGGGUAGAGCACUGUUUCGGCUAGGGGGUCAUCCCGACUUACCAACCCGAUGCAAACUACGAAUACCGAAGAAUGUUAUCACGGGAGACACACGGCGGGUGCUAACGUCCGUCGUGAAGAGGGAAACAACCCAGACCGCCAGCUAAGGUCCCAAAGUCACAGUUAAGUGGGAAACGAUGUGGGAAGGCACAGACAGCCAGGAUGUUGGCUUAGAAGCAGCCAUCAUUUAAAGAAAGCGUAAUAGCUCACUGGUCGAGUCGGCCUGCGCGGAAGAUGUAACGGGGCUAAACUGUGCACCGAAGCUGCGGCAGCGACACUAUGUGUUGUUGGGUAGGGGAGCGUUCUGUAAGCCUGCGAAGGUGGCCUGUGAGGGUUGCUGGAGGUAUCAGAAGUGCGAAUGCUGACAUAAGUAACGAUAAUGCGGGUGAAAAGCCCGCACGCCGGAAGACCAAGGGUUCCUGUCCAACGUUAAUCGGGGCAGGGUGAGUCGACCCCUAAGGCGAGGCCGAAAGGCGUAGUCGAUGGGAAACAGGUUAAUAUUCCUGUACUUGGUGUUACUGCGAAGGGGGGACGGAGAAGGCUAUGUUAGCCGGGCGACGGUUGUCCCGGUUUAAGCAUGUAGGCGGAGGUUCCAGGUAAAUCCGGUACCUUUUUAACGCUGAGGUGUGAUGACGAGGCACUACGGUGCUGAAGUAACAAAUGCCCUGCUUCCAGGAAAAGCCUCUAAGCAUCAGGUAACAUUGAAUCGUACCCCAAACCGACACAGGUGGUCAGGUAGAGAAUACCAAGGCGCUUGAGAGAACUCGGGUGAAGGAACUAGGCAAAAUGGUGCCGUAACUUCGGGAGAAGGCACGCUGAUAUGUAGGUGAAGCCCCUGCGGGUGGAGCUGAAAUCAGUCGAAGAUACCAGCUGGCUGCAACUGUUUAUUAAAAACACAGCACUGUGCAAACACGAAAGUGGACGUAUACGGUGUGACGCCUGCCCGGUGCCGGAAGGUUAAUUGAUGGGGUUAUCCGUAAGGAGAAGCUCUUGAUCGAAGCCCCGGUAAACGGCGGCCGUAACUAUAACGGUCCUAAGGUAGCGAAAUUCCUUGUCGGGUAAGUUCCGACCUGCACGAAUGGCGUAAUGAUGGCCAGGCUGUCUCCACCCGAGACUCAGUGAAAUUGAACUCGCUGUGAAGAUGCAGUGUACCCGCGGCAAGACGGAAAGACCCCGUGAACCUUUACUAUAGCUUGACACUGAACAUUGAGCCUUGAUGUGUAGGAUAGGUGGGAGGCUUUGAAGCGUGGACGCCAGUCUGCGUGGAGCCAACCUUGAAAUACCACCCUUUAAUGUUUGAUGUUCUAACGUUGGCCCCUUAUCGGGGUUGCGGACAGUGUCUGGUGGGUAGUUUGACUGGGGCGGUCUCCUCCCAAAGAGUAACGGAGGAGCACGAAGGUUAGCUAAUCCUGGUCGGACAUCAGGAGGUUAGUGCAAUGGCAUAAGCUAGCUUGACUGCGAGCGUGACGGCGCGAGCAGGUGCGAAAGCAGGUCAUAGUGAUCCGGUGGUUCUGAAUGGAAGGGCCAUCGCUCAACGGAUAAAAGGUACUCCGGGGAUAACAGGCUGAUACCGCCCAAGAGUUCAUAUCGACGGCGGUGUUUGGCACCUCGAUGUCGGCUCAUCACAUCCUGGGGCUGAAGUAGGUCCCAAGGGUAUGGCUGUUCGCCAUUUAAAGUGGUACGCGAGCUGGGUUUAGAACGUCGUGAGACAGUUCGGUCCCUAUCUGCCGUGGGCGCUGGAGAAUUGAGGGGGGCUGCUCCUAGUACGAGAGGACCGGAGUGGACGCAUCACUGGUGUUCGGGUUGUCAUGCCAAUGGCAUUGCCCGGUAGCUAAAUGCGGAAGAGAUAAGUGCUGAAAGCAUCUAAGCACGAAACUUGCCCCGAGAUGAGUUCU
This 2642-nucleotide ribosomal RNA is filed under the name Klebsiella aerogenes. RNAcentral describes it as "bacterial LSU rRNA". It matches the Rfam family "Bacterial large subunit ribosomal RNA". The record is from RNAcentral. Lineage: Bacteria; Pseudomonadati; Pseudomonadota; Gammaproteobacteria; Enterobacterales; Enterobacteriaceae.